ANNNNNNNAACUUANCCCAAAUCACUAACNGNACUCGUCGGCACGCGUCCUCUUUCGUUAGACUACGGACUUCGGGUGUUGCCAGCUCUCAUGGUGUGACGGGCGGUGUGUACAAGGCCCGGGAACGUAUUCACCGCGACAUGCUGAUUCGCGAUUACUAGCAACUCCAGCUUCAUGCAGGCGGGUUUCAGCCUGCAAUCCGAACUGGGAGCAGUUUUCAAGGUUCGCUCCACCUCGCGGUCUUGCUUCUCUCUGUUCUGCCCAUUGUAGCACGUGUGUUGCCCUGGACAAAGGGGCAUGAUAUUUGACGUCAUCCCCACCUCCGCCGCGUUAACCGCGGCUGUCUGUUAAAGUGCCCAUCUUUCUGCUAGCACUAACAAUAGGGGUUGCCGCUCCUUGCCGGACUUAACCUAACAUCCUACGACACAACUGACACAACCAUUCACCACCUGGUUCCCUGGCCCAAAGGCUUCUCUUAUCUCUUAAAAUUCAGGGGAUUCAAGUCCGGUAAAGUUUUUUCCGUUGCUUUCAAAUAAACCACAGCCCCGCUGCUGUGGGGCCCCCCCCAUUCUUUGAAUUUUAACUUGCGAACGACUUUCCCAGGGGGAAUACUUUUUGUGGUUACUGGGGGGCCAAAAAGGGGGCGAAACCCCCCCCACACCCAAAAUCCCCCUUUCGGCGGGGGACUACCCAGGGGAUCUAAUCCUGUGUGCUACCCCCCGCUUUUGUGGCCUCAGCGUCCNUACAGUCCAAAAAAACCCCCUUCCGCCCCGGGUGGUUUUUCCUAAUUCUCUACCCAUUUCACCGCCACCUAAGAAAAUUCGUUCUCCUCUCCCUGGGCCUCACAACAUCUCACUUUUGAAAAGGACUGUCCCCAGCUAAACCCGGGGCCUUUCCCACUCCUACCUAAAAUGUCGCCUCGCCCCACCCCUUUUCAUCCUAUAAUUUU
This 949-nucleotide ribosomal RNA is filed under the name uncultured Clostridium sp. RNAcentral describes it as "partial 16S ribosomal RNA". The record is from RNAcentral. Lineage: Bacteria; Bacillati; Bacillota; Clostridia; Eubacteriales; Clostridiaceae.